UACGAGUGCCCCAAGCGUUAUCCGGAAUUAUUGGGCGUAAAGGGUGUGUAGGUGGUUUUGUUAGUCUUCUGUUAAAGCUCCCGGCUUAACCGGGAAAGUGCAGAGGAAACGGCAAGACUAGAGGAUGUGAGAGGUUUGUAGAACUCAAGGUGUAGGGGUAAAAUCCGUUGAUAUCUUGGGGAACACCAAAAGCGAAGGCAGCAAACUGGCGCAUUCCUGACACUGAAACACGAAAGCGUGGGUAGCGAAUGGG
This 253-nucleotide ribosomal RNA is filed under the name uncultured bacterium. Its description in RNAcentral is "partial 16S ribosomal RNA". It matches the Rfam family "Bacterial small subunit ribosomal RNA", at positions 524 to 776 of the family's 1533-position model. The record is from RNAcentral.